This 518-nucleotide ribosomal RNA is filed under the name uncultured bacterium. Its description in RNAcentral is "bacterial SSU rRNA". It matches the Rfam family "Bacterial small subunit ribosomal RNA", at positions 15 to 518 of the family's 1533-position model. The record is from RNAcentral.
GAUUAUGGCUCAGAUUGAACGCUGGCGGCGUGCUAACACAUGCGAAGUCGCGCGUGAAAGGACUUCGGUCCGAGUAAAGCGGCGCACGGGUGAGUAACGCGUGGAUGAUCUACCCAUGAGUUAGGAAUAACGGCUGGAAACGGUCGCUAAUACCAAAUACGCUCCGAUUUCAACUUCGGGGGAAAGGUGGCCUCUGCUUGCAAGCUACUGCUCAUGGAUGAGUCCGCGUCCCAUUAGCUAGUUGGUGGGGUAACGGCCCACCAAGGCGACGAUGGGUAGCCGGUCUAAGAGGAUGACCGGCCACACUGGGACUGGAACACGGCCCAGACUCCUACGGGAGGCAGCAGUGGGGAAUAUUGCGCAAUGGGCGAAAGCCUGACGCAGCGACGCCGCGUGAGGGAUGAAGGUCCUCGGAUCGUAAACCUCUGUCAGGAGGGAAGAACCGCCACGGUGCUAAUCAGCCGUGGUCUGACGGUACCUCCAAAGGAAGCACCGGCUAACUCCGUGCCAGCAGCCGC